Molecule: ribosomal RNA, 140 nt
Filed under: Salmonella enterica subsp. enterica serovar Enteritidis
Lineage: Bacteria; Pseudomonadati; Pseudomonadota; Gammaproteobacteria; Enterobacterales; Enterobacteriaceae
Also listed under: 1 other name
Description: partial 23S ribosomal RNA
Rfam family: Bacterial large subunit ribosomal RNA
Source: RNAcentral
GAUGAGUUCUCCCUGAGACUUAAAGUCUCCUGAAGGAACGUUGAAGACGACGACGUUGAUAGGCCGGGUGUGUAAGCGCAGCGAUGCGUUGAGCUAACCGGUACUAAUGAACCGUGAGGCUUAACCUUACAACGCCGAAG